Long non-coding RNA from Telopea speciosissima, 201 nucleotides. RefSeq lists it as uncharacterized. The transcript is spliced from 3 exons. The record is from RefSeq and is a predicted model, not a curated record. NCBI's taxonomy places the organism in Eukaryota, Viridiplantae, Streptophyta, Magnoliopsida, Proteales, Proteaceae.
AACAAAUAAGGAAAUUGAGAAUAGAGAUAGAAGUUGAAGAGGCCGAAGCUAGCAAUUUCCGGCCUGGCCUGAAGAUCCAAUCUCUAAGUGAAGCUUUGUGGCGAGAGCAAUACUUAGAAGCAAGUUUGAGAAUUAUCAGAGAGAAAAAAGCAGAGAUGAUGAGGAGGAGCACAAAUUCAUUCUCAUACAGUCAAACAAGCU